This is a non-coding RNA of Zonotrichia albicollis (white-throated sparrow), 917 nucleotides long. Lineage: Eukaryota; Metazoa; Chordata; Aves; Passeriformes; Passerellidae. The record is from RefSeq and is a predicted model, not a curated record.
GUUGGCGCAGACCACAGUGCUGCUCCUUGGCUAAGGCUUGGUCAAAGCCUAGCCCCUGUUUCUGAGGAAAUAAUUGGGUAGCUGCAAAGUCAAGAGCUUCGGUGUGGGGCUGGAAGGAGCCUGGCAGAGGAGAGCACAGGCUCCUGUAAGAGCUCUCCCCUGACACUGGCCUCUGCUUGUCACUGCUGUGGGUCCUGGGGCAAGGCUGUCCAAGAGACACUAAGCACUUGGGGCUGCUGAAAGAGAGAAAGCUGCAAGGUGUUUCCUCAUUACCAUCAAGAAAGAAGAAGUUGAUCAUGUACCCAUAGGUUUGGAUGGCCCAAAUCUUGCCCAUAAACUCAAGCCAGAAUGAACCAAAGAGCAACCCAGCAAGCUGUGUGGGAUAAUCAAGACUUGACUGGGUAUUCAAUACAGGUAGGAUAAACCUGAUAGUUUAACAGAUCAGCAGUUCUCUGAGUAUCUUCUACCCAAAAGGCAACUUUGAAAAAACGUGACAUCUAGUUAGUACAAAGUGUCACCUGAAUCAUUUAUGUAACAUUCCUCCCACCAUACUGCUCAUAAUAUCUUCAAAAAAGUGGGUGAAGAGCUACAACAAAAGUGAUAAUGGAAGAGAAAAGCCUCAGAUGUGAAAUGACAGCACAAGAAGUACAAUUUAUACUUCACCUUGUCUAAAGGAUAAAGCCAAGGCAUUUUCAGGUCAUAAGCAAGUCAGAAAUUUUUAUGUAAGAUAAAGAGCAUCACUGUGGUUUUAUAAUGUAGAAAUUAUGCAUUUGCACUGUUGUACACAUAUUUGCAUUAGUCAAAUAUCUAUGGUGUUUACACACAAAUAAUAUUGGACAAAAUCAAACUAGGUUCACGUUCAUGAGAAAUUUUUUGGUCAUCAUGUUUAGUAGCAAAAUGAUGGCAUCUGGAAAAGG